UUCCUAACUUGCUUAAAUACGAUUUAAUCCGUUCCGAUUAAAUUUUACUUACUCUAAUUGUUAUUAAGACGUGUGAGAAUAAUUUCACGUAUAUAAUUUUGACAUGACAAAUUAAACAAAACAAAGAGGUCACCUAAAAACUAACAGGGCAUAAAUACCUAAACCACUUCAAAAAAAAAAGCCAGGUAGUAGUGGUAUUGUCUGAGGACUAGUAGGUAUAGUGAGGACUACCUACUGAAAAAAAAAAACAGUUCGAAAUACAAAAAUAGGUAAUGCCCAUUACUAAAAUACAGAUGAUUACGUAAUAAAAAUAUUGUUUCACACGAUCUAACCGCAAACUUGUCUUUUGUUUGCACACGUCUGUGUGUAUAUAUAAAUACCAGCAAAUAGGUUUUUGUAAUACGAAGGUGACCUUAACAUGACUUAUGUAAUAAAACUUCAGUUUGUGAUUAAAUAAUUUUUUUAACGACACCAAUGCUAAGCACCCAAAUAUCCAAAUUGUCUAAAUAUCCUAAAAUAUAUAUGUAUAUCCUGGAUAAAUAUUCAAAAUUUUUUAUCACAAUAAAAAAUUUUUAAUCCAAAUACGCACACUUUUUGACAUGAGUUAAUUACAUAGAUGUGUGGACGAGCUCACAGCUCACAUGGUGUUAAGUGGUUACCGGAGCCCAUAGACAUCUACAACGUAGAUUCCACCACCCACCUUGAGAUAUGAGUUCUAAGGUCUCAGUAUAGUUACAACGGCUGCCCCACCCUUCAAACUGAAACGCAUUACUACUUCACGGCAGAAAUAGGUAGGGUGGUGGUACCUACUCGUGCGAACUCACAAGAGGUCCUACCACCAUUGUUAAAAAUAACCUU
This is a long non-coding RNA of Bombyx mori (domestic silkworm), 858 nucleotides long. RefSeq lists it as uncharacterized. The transcript has 2 exons. NCBI's taxonomy places the organism in Eukaryota, Metazoa, Arthropoda, Insecta, Lepidoptera, Bombycidae. The record is from RefSeq and is a predicted model, not a curated record.